Molecule: long non-coding RNA, 1773 nt
Organism: Oxyura jamaicensis (ruddy duck)
Lineage: Eukaryota; Metazoa; Chordata; Aves; Anseriformes; Anatidae
Exons: 10
Source: RefSeq, a predicted model, not a curated record
AGAUUGUCUGGGGGCUGGAUGGAGUGCAGACUUGGCACGAGAGAGCCUGGAGCUAGGGCGAAGUUGCCAGCUCAGUGGCAGAGGAGUCUGCUGGGAAUGUGCAAUCCACAGCAUGCUGCAGGACUUCAGAUGCAGCAUGAUUUCCCAAAGCGUCGCACCAGAGGCUCUGGAAAUUCCCAGACCAGCUCAUUUGCCCCCAGCGGGACAGAGACCUCCUCCUCUGGUGUUCCUGCAAGGCUGAACGAGCUGCCUGUGUGUGUGUGUCUGGAGGCAGAGCUGCAGAAAAUCAACGGGGCCAAAAGAAAAUGAGCAUGAGCUGUUGCUAAGAGCUCUGGAGGUGCUGUACUGAAGCUUUGCUGAUGUGCUGAUCCCUGUGACCAAUUCCUCUGAAGCAGGCUGUACCGUCAACUUGGAGACAGCUCCUCCAGGGUGAGAUCAGCUGUGCCUUUAGGAGAGUCUCCCAGAUGGCUCUCUGGGGAAAAAAGAGACUGAUCAAUGUCUGAAAAAAGUAUCUCAUCCGUGUCAAAACACCAGCUUCACCUUGUUGUGCCUCCCAGGGACAACUUGAAAAGGCCAAAGUGGAGCUUCCCCUUGCGAGGGGCUCAAAACACUGCUCAUGAGCUCUGGUGGCAGCGGGACCUCAGGAGCUCUUCGGGAUGUGCACUCCUGGGUUUUAUGCCCAAGCCUGUCCUGUGCUUGGCUAACGGCCUCGUUUCGUCGUAAAAUGCUGAGCAGAGCUGCUGGGGCGUGCCAGCCUGGGGGAAGCCACGGAGCCCCUGAUUGCCCAGGUAUCUGGAGAAAUCCCAUGCUUCCAGAUAAGGACACGCCAGAUUUACAGUUGCCUACCACCAUUAACACAUCCUCUUCUGCACAGUCACGUGAAGGUUGCCAGCAUGGGUGAAGAGCUCUGCUGGAGAGCAAGGAGGGAAGCUGCACGCAGUCACCUGCAAAUGCUGUAAAGAGCGGUCAGUGGUCCCCCUAUCAACUGUAGCCCAGCUGCAGCAAGAGACCCUGCUCCCAAUGUCCUUGGCUCCUGCAGAUGCAUAAGAACCAGGCUGGCUGUGUGCUCCAGGUGGAGGAACAAUGGAGCCUUUCAUCUGCUCCUGCAGAGCAGGCUGGUGGCCAGCCCGUGUGUGGUGCCUGGUUCCCUCUGCUGGUGCAGAGGGGUGGGAGCAAGCGGAGGAUGAAAAAUCAGAGUAAUGGCCGAGGAGACGGUAUCCACUUGACUUUUCUUGCCCACAGCGUGAGUGAUUAAUCUAGCUAAGGCGUUGCAGCGGAGUGAGACCACAAGGUUAGGCAGCCCGAAGCCUACGUGCUCCAGGAGCUGAGGAUGCUGCUGGUCUGGCAGCUGCAAGGAUCUUGGGCUGUUUCCUUGGAUCCCGAACUACUGAUGCCCCAUUCUUCGUGCCCAGCUCGUGACACCCGCUGCUGUCUCUGUGCCAGCGAGGGGAGAUUCCCAACCCAACCCCCACGUACUGCCGUCUGUCUACUGGAGGAAGCAAAGAGGAUUUUCAGCCCUCCCAUCUAGCAGUGGGUCUGGUGGCAGGUCCAUGUGCCCCCCCUGUGGCCAGCUGGACCAAACAUCUUCCUCUCCCGUGCUGACCUUUGCGGUGAGGUUGUGUGUGGAGAAAUGUGCCAAAACGCCCCGUUGCCGUGGGAACCGAGGCCAAGAGAGGACCGGCCUGCUUCUGCUAAUUGCUGCAGCUCCUUCACCUGGCUGCAAACCCCACUGCACGAAGCCAGCCCCGUGGCGCUCCGGCCCCAUCCUGCCCC